AGUUUUUCAAAGUAGUCACUGGGAAAGUAGAAACCUUCCUCUAAUGGAGAAAAAGAGAAUUGGUGUAGUGACAAAAUGCCCUUCUGUCUAAUAAUCACAAGUUUCGACGGCGACUCGUUUCUCUCUCCACUCUAUCUCCUAUUUCUGUAACUCUGCGAUCUUCGCUCCAUCUCUGCAGCACUCACCUCUUUCCUCCGCUCUCAUAGCUUUUUCUCGCCUGUUAUCUCUCUUGCAAAAACCAAAGGUUUCGAUUUUGUGUCCAAUGAUAUCCUUUGCUCUUACGAUGUCUACACCAACCAAGACUCUUCUAAUCGUCUUAACUCCGAUCUUGCGAUCGCUGCUACCAACUCGAAGAAGGAAUUCCAUAAAACCAAAUUGGCAAUUUCUAAAAUUAACAAAUUGGAGACAUGAGAUCAGAGCUGACUCAUGAACACAAGGAAGCUGAUGUGAAGCAGACGAGAGGGAAGGUUGCAAAAUUGAGAGAAGGAAAAGUUUACUAGAGAGAGAAAGCAGAAACGAUUACCUCUAUGAACUUGUUUUCGCCAUGGAUUCCAAGAUUGAGAAUCUCGAUUUAGCUUAUUUGGAUUAUUGUUCUAUUUUUCGAUCGAGAGAUAAGGAGAAGAAAUCCGUAACACAAAAAUAGAGUUGUGAGUUUUGUAUUGGAGGAGGAGUAAACAGCUCUGACAUGGCUUAUUCAAGGCAACCUUUGGAGGGUCAUAUGUGUUCCGAUCGAGCUGAAACUUGGUGGAGAGCUUCGUGGCACUAGUGGCUUAAGAUUCAACGGUGGGAUUAAAAUUUCAGCGAUUACUUUGUAUUUUAUUUGAGCUUCUUCAACCUGUUAUGAGCUUAGCUAGUUCAUAUGGCGUUUCAAAUCUGAUUUUGAGUUUUUGUUUUAAUUUUUUUUUUGAGUUUGUUAUCUGAGGUCAUAUAUGUUCUAAGUUACUAAAGUGGUGAAAUGAAUAUGUUUCUCUUUUACCCU
This is a long non-coding RNA of Arabidopsis lyrata subsp. lyrata, 979 nucleotides long. RefSeq lists it as uncharacterized. The record is from RefSeq and is a predicted model, not a curated record. The transcript is spliced from 3 exons. Lineage: Eukaryota; Viridiplantae; Streptophyta; Magnoliopsida; Brassicales; Brassicaceae.